AGUGCAGUGAAUAGAAGACACUUCUCUGCACCCCAAAAGCUCCAUGCUGAUUGCGAGAAGGAAAUGCUGGAUGGAGGGGUUCCUGGAACU
RNAcentral lists this long non-coding RNA (90 nucleotides) under Pongo abelii (Sumatran orangutan). RNAcentral describes it as "lincRNA". Lineage: Eukaryota; Metazoa; Chordata; Mammalia; Primates; Hominidae. The record is from RNAcentral.